Molecule: unclassified non-coding RNA, 256 nt
Filed under: Berkeleyomyces basicola
Lineage: Eukaryota; Fungi; Ascomycota; Sordariomycetes; Microascales; Ceratocystidaceae
Description: sequence contains 5.8S rRNA gene
Rfam family: 5.8S ribosomal RNA (bases 1-53)
Source: RNAcentral
GAACGCACAUUGCGCCUGGCAGUAUUCUGCCAGGCAUGCCUGUCCGAGCGUCAUUUCACCACUCAAGCUCUGCUUGGUGUUGGAGGACCCGCGUUUAGUCGCGGGCCGCCGAAAUGCAUCGGCUGUUGUAUAUACAGCUUCCCUGUGUAGUAAAUGCUUAGCUUUACACUUUGAAACUUUUAUAUGACAUGCCGGAAAACCCUCAACUUUUGAAAGGUUGACCUCGGAUCAGGUAGGAAUACCCGCUGAACUUAAG